Gasterosteus aculeatus aculeatus (three-spined stickleback) is the source of this 2268-nucleotide long non-coding RNA. Lineage: Eukaryota; Metazoa; Chordata; Actinopteri; Perciformes; Gasterosteidae. The record is from Ensembl.
UAUUUCUGCAAUAUCUAUUCUAUUGUUGACGUGAUGCCAGCCCCGUUCCCCACGCAGCGAGCGGCCGGCCGGCGGCGAUCCGCAGACGUAAUGCGACAUAAUGGCCUCCGCCCACUGCUGAGGCUGCACGCUGGGCGCUUCAGUGCCCCCCCCUGACCCCGUCCCAGAGGAGGAUGCCCGUGUGUUGGUGGAGUCCAGCAGCUCAGCGCAGCGCGACUGAAAGGAGCUUCGUCUUACUAUCACACUGUUCAAACUGAACCAGAAGUUCUAACUCAUCUGACUCAUCGAACUCAAAAGAAUACCGCGAAGACCUGGACGAAUCCAUUUGGGCCUUUUAGGCCUCUUGGGUGGCUGAAGUGCAUCUGGAUGCCGGGCUGCGUGGUGCUGAGCUCUGGGUCGGUACUCCGGGCCGAUACCAGCUGUGUGUGGGUUUAACCAAUGCACGUGCACACGGUGGCGCGCAGCACACAGCGGAGCCUUUAAUAACCGCACGUGUGGCUUUAGAGCGCUCAGCUUUGUGUGUCUGUAAACGUUUCGAGUUUAGAUCCAUCCAUCCAUCCAUUUUCAACCGCUUAUCUGGUCGCGGGGGCAACAGCUCCAGCAGGGGACCCCAAACUUCCCUUUCCCGGGCCACAUCUACCAGCUCUGACUGGGGGAUCCCAAGGCGUUCCCAGGCCAGUGCAGAGAUAUAAUCUCUCCACCUUGUCCUGGGUCUUCCCCGGGGCCUCUUCCCAGCUGGCCGUGCCUGAAACACCUCCCUAGGGAGGCGCCCAGGGGGCAUCCUCACCAGAUGCCCAAACCACCUCAACUGGCUCCUUUUGACGCAAAGGAGCAGCGGCUCUACUCCGAGCUCCUCGCGAAUGGCUGAGCUUCUCACCCUAUCCCUAAGGGAGACGCCAGCCUCUCUCCUAAGGAAACCCAUUUCGGCCGCUUGUACCCGUGACCUAGUUCUUUCGGUCAUGACCCAUCCAUGAACCGAGUUUAGAUGAAGGUCUAAAUAAACAAAUACAUAUUUUAUGAUUUUAAAAUGUCACUGUUGUACUGGUUUACUGUUUAUAAUUGACUUGAUAUGAUUACACAGUUUAAAUAGUACGUUGCACAGAGGUACAGAAGAAGAAGAAUUGCAUUCUUGCUGUGAAGAAAUGAAUGUAUUGAACUUGCUCUUCAGGAGGAAAGAACACAACAGUGAAGCUGAACAGCGGAACGUUGAUUGAUUUUUUUCUACUAAUGAGGCCAUUUUUCUGUUUGCAUAUUAAAAGCGCACAGAUGGUUUGUGUUUGCAGUGGGUUUCAUUGUGUGCCAGGGUUCAUCUUUGUGUUUGGCACUCAAGCUGUUGACUAGGAGCUCGGCAGAACGAGUCUUUGGGGUUUUAUCUGCAGGUAGAAGUUCGUCCUUCUGAUGGAUUUAUUCUUCCUUCCACCGGUGGAUUUCUGCUGCUGCUGCUUUUAAAGAGAAGAGAGAAUUACUUUGAUUGUGAGGCUAUUGUUCAUCUUUUAGAUGCAAAAUACGUUUUCAUUUAUUUCCAUGAAACAUGUUAAUCACACUAGUGGAGUCUGAGUUGUACACUGGUAACAUUCAAAUCUGUUGGUGUUUUCAAAAGGCGACAACGAUGCAAAUGCUGGCAAAUUAAACAGGAAUCUUCCAGAAAGCAACCAAGUGAUGGAGUCCCAACCUUCUCUUUAUUGGACAAACACUUUUAGAAUGAUACAAAUAUUCGUGGUCUUAUUUUCUCUCAUGUGGACUUGUGACUGUGUAGUGUAGUGCACGCAUGUGCUGGCAGCUUUGAUCUUCUCUUUUCAUUAUGAGAACGAGCAUUUUAAAAGAACACAGAUCACCAAAGGUGUUACAGGAGGGAAGAACCAAAAUGCAAAUGAAUGAAUAGAAAAUGAAGUUAGUUCUUCCUUGUAAAGUGUACUAAUGUAAAACUAAUGUAAAGUGUAGAUGGAUCGUUAGCACACAAUCUGACACUUGUUUAGCUGAUUUUGUUGCAACUUUACAUUGUGACUAAUUCUAAUGAGCUUUGUUGUCUGCAUCAUGGAGCCAACUAGUGGAAGCAUCCUUCUUAGUAGUGUUUGCACAUGGUGCGGUAGUCGUGUCAAUUUAGCUUUUGAUUUUAACAAAUUCAUUUCAUUUUGACGCAGCAAAGAAUUGGAACAUAUUGGAUUGUGGUAAUAAAAAUAAGCAGCAUGAGUAAUGUGUGCGCAUGCCUCAUGGCUAACCUGCCUCCAAAGACUGUCCGUCAGACUCCGACUACUUCAAGUCCAAUUU